GAUGAACGCUGGCGGCGUGCCUAAUACAUGCAAGUCGAACGGCAAGACUGGUAGCAAUACUGGUCUGAGAGUGGCGAACGGGUGAGUAAGACGUAGGUGAUCUACCCCUGGGUGGGGGAUAGUCCGUGGAAACACGGGGUAAUACCGCAUGAGGCCUUGUGGGUAAAGCCAUGAGGUGAAAGCUCCAAUUGGAGCGUCUGGGGAUGAGCCUGCGGCCCAUUAGGCAGUUGGCGGGGUAACGGCCCACCAAACCGACGAUGGGUAGCCGGCCUGAGAGGGUGUACGGCCACACUGGAACUGAGACACGGUCCAGACUCCUACGGGUGGCAG
RNAcentral lists this ribosomal RNA (330 nucleotides) under uncultured Spirochaetota bacterium. RNAcentral's name for it is "bacterial SSU rRNA". It matches the Rfam family "Bacterial small subunit ribosomal RNA", at positions 28 to 351 of the family's 1533-position model. Lineage: Bacteria; Pseudomonadati; Spirochaetota. The record is from RNAcentral.